AUUGAACGCUGGCGGCAGGCCUAACACAUGCAAGUCGAACGGUAGCACAGAGAGCUUGCUCUCGGGUGACGAGUGGCGGACGGGUGAGUAAAGUCUGGGAAACUGCCCGAUGGAGGGGAUAACUACUGGAAACGGUAGCUAAUACCGCAUAACGUCGCAAGACCAAAGUGGGGGACCUUCGGGCCUCACACCAUCGGAUGUGCCCAGAUGGGAUUAGCUAGUAGGUGGGGUAAUGGCUCACCUAGGCGACGAUCCCUAGCUGGUCUGAGAGGAUGACCAGCCACACUGGAACUGAGACACGGUCCAGACUCCUACGGGAGGCAGCAGUGGGGAAUAUUGCACAAUGGGCGCAAGCCUGAUGCAGCCAUGCCGCGUGUAUGAAGAAGGCCUUCGGGUUGUAAAGUACUUUCAGCGGGGAGGAAGGCGGUGAAGUUAAUAACUUCACCGAUUGACGUUACCCGCAGAAGAAGCACCGGCUAACUCCGUGCCAGCCGCCGCAGUAA
This 503-nucleotide ribosomal RNA is filed under the name uncultured bacterium. RNAcentral's name for it is "partial 16S ribosomal RNA". It matches the Rfam family "Bacterial small subunit ribosomal RNA", at positions 30 to 523 of the family's 1533-position model. The record is from RNAcentral.